RNAcentral lists this ribosomal RNA (427 nucleotides) under uncultured bacterium. Its description in RNAcentral is "bacterial SSU rRNA". It matches the Rfam family "Bacterial small subunit ribosomal RNA", at positions 355 to 774 of the family's 1533-position model. The record is from RNAcentral.
UGGGGAAUUUUGGACAAUGGGCGCAAGCCUGAUCCAGCCAUGCCGCGUGCAGGAUGAAGGCCUUCGGGUUGUAAACUGCUUUUGUACGGAACGAAAAGGUGCCUUCUAAUAAAGGGCGCUCAUGACGGUACCGUAAGAAUAAGCACCGGCUAACUACGUGCCAGCAGACGCGGUAAUACGUAGGGUGCGAGCGUUAAUCGGAAUUACUGGGCGUAAAGCGUGCGCAGGCGGUUUUGUAAGACAGAGGUGAAAUCCCCGGGCGCAACCUGGGAACUGCCUUUGGGACUGCAUGGCUGGAGUGCGGCAGAGGGGGAUGGAAUUCCGCGUGUAGCAGUGAAAUGCGUAGAUAUGCGGAGGAACACCGAUGGCGAAGGCAAUCCCCUGGGCCUGCACUGACGCUCAUGCACGAAAGCGUGGGGAGCAAACA